Dicentrarchus labrax (European seabass) is the source of this 3287-nucleotide long non-coding RNA. RefSeq lists it as uncharacterized. The transcript is spliced from 3 exons. Lineage: Eukaryota; Metazoa; Chordata; Actinopteri; Moronidae. The record is from RefSeq and is a predicted model, not a curated record.
UGCAUUACCAAAUAAUCUAACUCAUUCCCAUUGAUCGACUUUAAUGAACAAUGUAAUGCACAUGCACUUGAUGAGACAUGAUCAUUGCAUGUACAGGUUUCCUCCAGUUUGCAAAAAAAAAAAAAAAAGACCUGCUGAGAGAAACUGUGUUCAGACUUGGACUCAGCUCGUCAGGUUGGUCACCUAUCAAUCAACACAGCACUGUUGUGCAAUGCUUGGACUUGAGAAGCUAACAUUAAACUCAUGAGGGUGAUGUUGAUGCCUUUGGUUGGGUGAAAAUCCCACGUCUGAUCGUCAUCGCUGUUAGUAGCAGGGAGGCUGAAAGGGCUGUCAGAUGACUCCAGCUUCAGCAUCCUUCGCCUCUAUCCAUGCAGCCCAGGUCCUGGGCUAGAUCUGCCCUGCCCUCCUCUGGCUGUCCCUCUUCUGUCCUAGUACAGCUAUAUAAUCACAGUUCCUCACAGUUAUACAGCUUGUAGCUAAACCGGAGUACGGAUCUGCCUUUGUGCUAACUGGGCAACUGAAGCGUUCGUUCUGGAGCCACUGAGCAGGAAACGACAACUUUUAUUAAGCAUGGCAGAGAGCUGUAGAGAGAGCGGAGAGAUGCUGGGUGCUACAUCACACACCAGCUCUGUACUCGAUGCUACAGCCAGAGAAAACGCUCAGCUGCAUUGCUGGUAGCAGCGUAGAGUGAGGGGUGCAACAAAUGGCGUAUUAAAUCUCCUCAGCACCACACCAGCUCCAUCCUGAUCCUGCACCAGUGUUGACCAUAAGGGAAAAUGUCUUAUGAAUGGAACAGAAUUAACUGUCAUAGAAACAACAUGCACUUUGAAUGCAUAACGCUACACCAUCUGUUUUCAUGCUUGCGCACACAGUCUCUGUCUGUGCAGCAAUAUUAACACCAAAGCCCUUCGUCGGUGCUUACGCAGUCCCUGUGGUUAGGUAAUGCAGAACCAGAGAGAAGAUGGCAGUUACUGCUGUCUUAUUUUGCAUCACAGCAGUCGCAGGACACAUGUUCAUCGAUGCUUUUUCUCACAAUUGCAGUGAGCGUGCAACUGAAUGCAAGGCUAUGGGGGGGAAAGAGAGUCCUGCUAUCAGCGGGGACUCUCGGUAUACCUAUAUAGAGGCUGCUGAUUGAUGCAAAAGCAGCAGAUGCGUCAGCACUGCAGACGAGGGGGAGGGGAGGAAGCUGAACCCAACAUGGCACUGUGAGACUCUCGCUAGCCUCUGAGGACGGAAGCAGCUCUUUUAUUUACACAACUCAGUAUAGUCAUAUGACUGUGUGGGUCUUCUCCUCAUACUGGCUGACAUCUGUUUCAUUUUCUGUGUUCGAUAUAUCACAUUAUGUUGGUUUCAUGAAUACAUAAUUAACCACAUCUAUUUUUGAUGCUGACAGCAAGACCUGCUUUCUUGAAGACCCCUACAUCAGCCGAGGGAGCAGCCAGUGUAUCAGGUAGUUAAACCUGAAAACUUGCGCCACACUGGGCCAUGUUGGUGUGCAAACCAAAAACCAGACAAGAGAUGACAAUACAAGCGAUAAGACAAAAGUGGCUUCACUGCAUACCCUCUGUAAUUGGAGCCAGAAAAUCUAAAUUUGGAAGACUAGGGGGGGAGCCUGGCUGAAGUUAAAGUGUGAUGAGCAUAUAGCAACCACCACAGCUGACUGGGAUUUACAGAGACUCUUGUCAGUCAAAACUACUCUAUUCUUCAAAUACACAGCAAAGACACACAUUAGAGGAAGUCCAAUAAAAUAAGACCCUAACUUCUUGUGAACAUAAUAUUUAAACAUAAAAAGAGGAGUUCUUUUGUUGACUGCAGUAUAUUUGGGGGUUUCUUUCAACCAACGUCUUAAGAUCCGGAUGAGUCGGUCCAUGAGUAGCAUUUAAAGACAAUAUACAUAUUUUAUUUUGUAACUUUAUCUAACUCAAUCUUUUUUUAGUCCUAACUCAUUUGUUGACAUUACGUACUGUACAUCUUCUAUAUCUUGAAUGAAUGGUUGAAACGCAUCUGUGGAAAAGCAAUAAUUUUUAACUCAAAAACAUUGUACCAUAGCAGAGCCUUUUAACCAUUGUAACAUUUUUAAUUUGCCUAGGCGAUUCUUUAUAUGUUCCAUAAUCUGGCAAACUUGCUUCGCAGUUUACAGUGUUGUAAAUCAUUUUAUUUAUGUUAAGAAUUGGGAAACUCUUCUUUUUAUAAAUCCUGAUUUUAAAGGUGUUUGUUUUUUUUAUUAGUGUAUAAUCACUUGAAAAUAAGAAUCAUUGUGUUUUCAAAUGAGUCAUUUUUAUCUACUGAGGGAGAGGGUCCCCUUCAAGCCCCUAUAAAGAGCACUGGGCUUUGAAGCCAAUUUGACAUAGUGGCCGAACCGUGUAAUUACAGCAAUGGCGUCCGUCGCGUGAUGUGCACUGGCCCAAAAAAAUUUUUCCCCAUAAGGUUACAUUAUGAAAGAAGCUGCUGUAAAACGGUGGAUACAUUUUCUCAAACAUUACAACAAAAUUACUCGUUUCACUAACAGAAUUUGAUCCAUUCAGUCUGAUAACAUUUAAAUUAUUCAUCCCCAUUCUAGCUAACAGAAGGCCAAACCGCAAGCAAGCCAGCUCGGACAGUGGAAGUCUCUAGUGUGCAUCCUCUAUGGGCCACUGUGGCAUGUGCAGUGUGUAUUCAUCCAAGUAAUUUCUUUACAACGGGAAGCAGCUUUAAUGCUGCAGCCUCUAAUGCUGUAUCCAGUUCUCUUUAUACAUCCAUCUUCCUCUUCCAUGGAGUCUGCCAUGUUGAACCACUAUUUUUCUACAGUAGCCCAAAACACACAAACCAAACACUGGCUCUAGAUAGCACCUUUCGUGUUUUUCUUGAGUUUCGUGGCCACCAUAGUUUCUCCUACAUGCUUGGACGGCUGAGCUGUAUUCAAAUGGCGACAAUCUGUAACUUCACCACUAGAUGCCACUGACUCCUACACACAGGCCCUUUAAGAAGAUCUUACCCGCCAAUAGAUGAAUUCACUGCCCUUAAUUAAAGCACUUCAUAUAGCACCUUGCCACCCACACUCAAUAUCACAUUUAGGAUGUGUUCAAAACCACAGGACAAAGUUUACAGGCCUCUGUGCCUCUGAUGCUCGGUAAGCUCAGCUGCGGCCUGUGAGACACAGGGAGGCACAGACCGCAGUGCACGGCUGAGUAGGCCUCAUAUUCAUUCUCAAAACAUUCACACUCUUAGCAUAUAAAGACACUCAUCCGUUGGUGCACUUAUGCUGCUGACUUAACAAGCACUCAUACUUUGAGUUGCCUACCAAAAUG